ACAAGUACCGUGAGGGAAAGUUGCAAAGCACUUUGAAGAGAGAGUUAAAGAGGACGUGAAACCGGUAAGGUGGAAACGGAUGGAGCCAGCGCAUCUGGCCUGUAUUCAGCUAUUCGGCCGCUGGCGUCAGGGCGCCGCUCUCCAGAUUGGGACGGUGCUCUGUGCUGCUGGUGGUCGCGUGGUGCAUUUGCAGGUGGAGUGCGCUGAGGCGCUUAGGGUAGCGGCAUGAGCUCAGUUUUGAGGCCAGCCCGCAAGGGUCUGGUACCCGAGCUGGGGGAGUGCUGUUUGUCCUGGGUGUUGUCUCGAGUAUGGCUUACGGGCUCGGGUGGGCGCCGAGCUGGCAACCGGUGGCGGUCGCAUGCGACACGUGCCAGUGGUCAGUUCGGUCCUAUUCGAGCUCACAUGCUCAUCCUCGGUGUAAAAGCUGGUCAUCCAUCCGACCCGUCUUGAAACACGGACCAAGGAGUUUAGCGUGUGCGCGAGUCAUUGGGCGUU
This is a ribosomal RNA of 495 nucleotides. It matches the Rfam family "Eukaryotic large subunit ribosomal RNA", at positions 344 to 702 of the family's 3401-position model.